Molecule: ribosomal RNA, 206 nt
Filed under: uncultured bacterium
Lineage: Bacteria
Description: partial 16S ribosomal RNA
Rfam family: Bacterial small subunit ribosomal RNA
Source: RNAcentral
CGCGUAGGCGGGAUGGCAAGUCGGUCGUGAAAUCCCUCGGCUCAACUGAGGAGCGUCGAUCGAUACUGCCGUUCUUGAGGGUUGCAGAGGAGACUGGAAUUCCCGGUGUAGCGGUGAAAUGUGUAGAGAUCGGGAGGAACACCGGUGGCGAAGGCGGGUCUCUGGGCAACUCCUGACGCUGAGGCGCGAAAGCGUGGGAGCAAACG